This 90-nucleotide transfer RNA is filed under the name Candidatus Falkowbacteria bacterium RIFCSPLOWO2_02_FULL_45_15. Its description in RNAcentral is "tRNA-Ser". It matches the Rfam family "tRNA". From Rfam's summary of the family: Transfer RNA (tRNA) molecules are approximately 80 nucleotides in length. Their secondary structure includes four short double-helical elements and three loops (D, anti-codon, and T loops). Further hydrogen bonds mediate the characteristic L-shaped molecular structure. tRNAs have two regions of fundamental functional importance: the anti-codon, which is responsible for specific mRNA codon recognition, and the 3' end, to which the tRNAs corresponding amino acid is attached (by aminoacyl-tRNA synthetases). tRNAs cope with the degeneracy of the genetic code in two manners: having more than one tRNA (with a specific anti-codon) for a particular amino acid; and 'wobble' base-pairing, i.e. permitting non-standard base-pairing at the 3rd anti-codon position. The record is from RNAcentral. Lineage: Bacteria; Candidatus Falkowiibacteriota.
GGAAGGUUCGCAUAGUGGUCGAGUGCGCACGCUUGGAAAGCGUGUAGGGCGUAAAAACCCUCGAGGGUUCGAAUCCCUCACCUUCCGCCA